GCUGCUGUGACAACAAUUAGUCAGCUACUGACUGCUGAUCCUCAACAAUUCCCUGAGCAAAGCAAUGCCACCGUAAGACUAACAGGAACCUUGGAAAGGUUUUCAGUAAGUCAGAGUAAUAAUGCAUUAUUGGUGGUUCAGCCCAGACUGGUGGUUCAGUCAACUCAGGUGCGAAGUGACCAGACAGCAGGCAUCCAAUUCAGUGCACUCUCUGGCACAUCAAAUAACUUUACAACAAACAGAAUACAACUG
This is a long non-coding RNA of Clupea harengus (Atlantic herring), 252 nucleotides long. RefSeq lists it as uncharacterized. The record is from RefSeq and is a predicted model, not a curated record. The transcript has 3 exons. NCBI's taxonomy places the organism in Eukaryota, Metazoa, Chordata, Actinopteri, Clupeiformes, Clupeidae.